AUUGAACGCUGGCGGCAUGCCUUACACAUGCAAGUCGAACGGCAGCGCGGGGCAACCUGGCGGCGAGUGGCGAACGGGUGAGUAAUAUAUCGGAACAUACCCUAGAGUGGGGAUAACGUAGCGAAAGUUACGCUAAUACCGCAUACGCACCUAAGGUGGAAAGUGGGGGAUCUUCGGACCUCAUGCUCAUGGAGUGGCCGAUAUCUGAUUAGCUAGUUGGUGAGGUAAAGGCUCACCAAGGCGACGAUCAGUAGCUGGUUUGAGAGAACGACCAGCCACACUGGAACUGAGACACGGUCCAGACUCCUACGGAGGCAGCAGUGGGGAAUUUUGGACAAUGGGGCAACCCUGAUCCAGCAAUGCCGCGUGAGUGAAGAAGGCCU
Molecule: ribosomal RNA, 383 nt
Filed under: uncultured bacterium
Lineage: Bacteria
Description: bacterial SSU rRNA
Rfam family: Bacterial small subunit ribosomal RNA
Source: RNAcentral